This 431-nucleotide ribosomal RNA is filed under the name uncultured bacterium. RNAcentral describes it as "partial 16S ribosomal RNA". It matches the Rfam family "Bacterial small subunit ribosomal RNA", at positions 29 to 507 of the family's 1533-position model. The record is from RNAcentral.
AACGAACGCUGGCGGCAGGCUUAACACAUGCAAGUCGAGCGCCCCGCAAGGGGAGCGGCAGACGGGUGAGUAACGCGUGGGAACGUACCUUUUGGUUCGGAACAACUCCGGGAAACUGGAGCUAAUACCGGAUAAGCCCUAACGGGGAAAGAUUUACCGCCGAAAGAUCGGCCCGCGUCUGAUUAGCUAGUUGGUGAGGUAACGGCUCACCAAGGCGACGAUCAGUAGCUGGUCUGAGAGGAUGAUCAGCCACACUGGGACUGAGACACGGCCCAGACUCCUACGGGAGGCAGCAGUGGGGAAUAUUGGACAAUGGGCGCAAGCCUGAUCCAGCCAUGCCGCGUGAGUGAUGAAGGCCUUAGGGUUGUAAAGCUCUUUUGUCCGGGAAGAUAAUGACUGUACCGGAAGAAUAAGCCCCGGCUAACUUCGUG